GGGGUGUUGUCUCAUUUACACAUCAUCAUGUCGGUGGUGGGCCAUGUCACUAGGGUUGUGUUUUUCUCUCCAUCCAGUCUCAUCUGCCCCUCCAGCCAUCACACCAGGGCCCAGCCUCCAGAGCUGACAAGGGGACGUCUAAGGACAAAAAGCCCCAGACACACUCACCUCUCUGGGCCGCUCUUUGCUCUCCUCACUGGGUCAACCAGCCGCCCAGGCCCCAUCACACCACUGCACUGUGGCCCGCUAAAGGCAGCUGACUGAUGUAUCUAAACACACCAUAGUAUCUUGCUCACUGAUUGGAUUACAGUCGCCUGAGUAAACGCUGUAGAGGAAGAAUAAGUCUCUCUUUUUCUGGCCCUCCAGUUUUGACCCUUGCCUGUCCCGACUCUGAGCCCUCCUGCUUGACCACUCUGCCUGACCCUGAGCCUGCCUGUCGUCCUGUACCUUGGUCUCUACUCUGGAUUACUGACCCCUGCCUGCCUUGUCCUGUCGUUUGCCUGCCCCUGUUGCUGUAAUAAACAUUGUUACUUCAACACAGUCUGUAUUUGGGUCUUACUGGAAACCAGAUAGUACGAACUGGCCAUGACUGACUCAGCAGACUUAGACCAGCUCCACAACGCCAUCUCCUCCCAAGGAGCCCUCAUUGGUAGACACGAGGAGUUCAUUCGCUGUCUGAUGGAAGGGUUCCAGGAUGUGAUCGAACGUCACGACCUAGCAUUGGACGCUUUGCGGGAGCAAUUCCAUGGGUUGCUAGACAGCCUAACACGACAGUAACCUCCCAGCACCUCAGUAACCUGGCUGGUAGCAGCGCCGUCACCCCAGUUUCCCGGGAACCCCGCUUACCUACCCCGAAGCACUAUGAUGGAGAUUCCAGAACCUGCCGGUCCUUUCUCUCCCAGUGUUUCCUCGUUUUCGAGCUGCAGCCUUCUUCGAUCCCCUCGGACCACUCAAAGAUAGUGUACAUUAUUACGCUGAUGUCCAGGAGGGCACUCGCCUGGGCCACGGCAGUGUGGGAGCAACAAUCUGCCUUCUGCCUCAGUCUGGAGGUAUUCGUGGCGGAGGUGAGAAAGGUGUUCGAGGCUCCGGGGUCCGGAGAGAGGCUGUUACUCCAGCUUCUGCAGGACUCCCUCAGUGUGGCAGACUAUAAACCCGGAAGUUACUCCAGCUUCUGCAGGACUCCCUCAGUGUGGAAGACUAUGAACCCCGAAGUUACUCCAGCUUCGGCAGGACUCCCUCAGUGUGGCAGACUAUGAACCCGGAAGUUACUCCAGCUUCUGCAGGACUCCCUCAGUGUGGCAGACUAUGAACUCGGAAGUUACUCCAGCUUCUGCAGGACUCCCUCAGUGUGGCAGACUAUGAACUCGGAAGUUACUCCAGCUUCUGCAGGACUCCCUCAGUGUGGCAGACUAUGAACCCGGAAGUUACUCCAGCUUCAGCAGGACUCCCUCAGUGUGGCAGACAAUGCGGUGGAUUUCCGCACGUUAGCAGCGGAGGGUGCCUGGAACCCGGAAGAGCUGUUCAACACGUUCCUGCAUGGAUUAUCUGAGGAAGUAAAGGACGAGCUUGCAGCACGGGAACUACCUACGGAUCUCAACCUAUUCAUCGCUUUAACCAUCUGGAUCGAUGGUCAGCUAGAGGGAGAAGAGGUCUGAUUGCGGUCCCAAUCGCUCACUCAAGGAUCCCCCUUCCAUCUGAUGAACUCCGGAAGUCCCCGGUGUCUUCGUCCCCGAGAGAAUCCGAGUUUACCCGAGUUCCCCCAAGAGCAUCCGAAGAUGGACGAUUUACCUCUUCCCGAGCCGAUGCAGCUUGGCAGGGCUAGGCUGUCUCCAGCCGAACAUGUACUGUAUGUAGACUUAACACUCAGAGUUGUUUGUAUUGCGGUACUAACGGUCAUUGUCUACCUGUCCCUUCAAGAGACAUAGCUCAUUGUUGGGAAUGAGUACUCUGGUGGGUCUUAAGGAUAAUUUUGCUUCUCCCCCAUCUCCAUGCCACCCUGCUGUGGGGCAACCGUCUCUCCAGAUACUCAUCGACUCAGGGGCCGAUAUGAGUCUCAUGGACGUUACUAUGGUGUCCGAGUUGGGCAUCCCCACUCAACCCCUCUCCAUUCCCAUUGACGUUAGAGCGCUGGAUGUGCACUCUCACCGUACCACCCCCAUCAACCUACGAGUAUCGGGGAAUCACAGCG
Molecule: long non-coding RNA, 2188 nt
Organism: Oncorhynchus tshawytscha (Chinook salmon)
Lineage: Eukaryota; Metazoa; Chordata; Actinopteri; Salmoniformes; Salmonidae
Source: Ensembl